Neofelis nebulosa (Clouded leopard) is the source of this 806-nucleotide long non-coding RNA. RefSeq lists it as uncharacterized. The record is from RefSeq and is a predicted model, not a curated record. The transcript has 3 exons. NCBI's taxonomy places the organism in Eukaryota, Metazoa, Chordata, Mammalia, Carnivora, Felidae.
GUACAAUUACCAUCUGGUCGUGUUGGGCUCGUCAUGCCAGGGAACCAAUAAGCAAAGAGUUAACUCUACAGGGGAUAAAAAUUGACCUUAACAACCAUGGGGGAGUUAGAAUUGCUGCUACACCUUGGGGACAGGGAGGAAUAUAUCUGAAAAAGAGGAGGCUCCCUGGGAUGUCUUUUGGUGCUUCAGCACCUAGUGGUAACUAAGAAUCAGCAGGUACAGCAACCACAGCCCAACAAGGGCCAGGCGGCUAAGGCUUCAGGAUAAAGGUCCCGAGUCACUCCACUGGGCACACAGUUAGACCCUCUUACUAGUCAAAUAUAACAGAAAUUCAAAAUACAUAGUGGAGGAAAGAAAAUACUGAUUAUGGCUUUAGGAUUUACAUCCAAGCAGUGAGGAUAACCUUCAUUCAACUAACCUUUUAUUAAAUCCUCUCAAAUUUGCCUACCACCUUAAAAGGGACUCUGUAAUGGGAAUGAGAGAAACUGAGAGGUAAAAGGGAUGGACUGUAGUAGAUGUGCCUUGAACUCUGCCUCAAACCCUCUCCACAUCCUACUCCAGGACUGCCGUGGUGACUUGUUCUUUGAAAGCUUCACCCAGCUUUCCAUAGGGGCAACCUGACAAUGUUUGACUGAGGCCUGUGAUUAUUCAGCAUUUAUGAGUGAGAGAAGGCUCAGUAGCAAAUCGAGCAGCAGAAAGAAAAGAGUCAGUAAAGAUUUGACAUCUCAUCUUUCAAAGUCAUUACAAGAAUUAUAUUAAAUAUUAUAUGCAAAAGCACAUCAGUGCUUGAGGAAGCGAAGGAAAGG